This 253-nucleotide ribosomal RNA is filed under the name uncultured bacterium. Its description in RNAcentral is "partial 16S ribosomal RNA". It matches the Rfam family "Bacterial small subunit ribosomal RNA", at positions 524 to 776 of the family's 1533-position model. The record is from RNAcentral.
UACGUAGGGUGCGAGCGUUGUCCGGAAUUAUUGGGCGUAAAGGGCUCGUAGGCGGUUUGUCGCGUCGGGAGUGAAAACCAUGAGCUUAACUCAUGGCUUGCUUUCGAUACGGGCAGACUAGAGGUAUGCAGGGGAGAACGGAAUUCCUGGUGUAGCGGUGAAAUGCGCAGAUAUCAGGAGGAACACCGGUGGCGAAGGCGGUUCUCUGGGCAUUACCUGACGCUGAGGAGCGAAAGCGUGGGGAGCAAACAGG